This 69-nucleotide transfer RNA is filed under the name Hoplias malabaricus (trahira). RNAcentral describes it as "tRNA-His". It matches the Rfam family "tRNA". Rfam says of the family: Transfer RNA (tRNA) molecules are approximately 80 nucleotides in length. Their secondary structure includes four short double-helical elements and three loops (D, anti-codon, and T loops). Further hydrogen bonds mediate the characteristic L-shaped molecular structure. tRNAs have two regions of fundamental functional importance: the anti-codon, which is responsible for specific mRNA codon recognition, and the 3' end, to which the tRNAs corresponding amino acid is attached (by aminoacyl-tRNA synthetases). tRNAs cope with the degeneracy of the genetic code in two manners: having more than one tRNA (with a specific anti-codon) for a particular amino acid; and 'wobble' base-pairing, i.e. permitting non-standard base-pairing at the 3rd anti-codon position. The record is from RNAcentral. Lineage: Eukaryota; Metazoa; Chordata; Actinopteri; Characiformes; Erythrinidae.
GUAGAUAUAGUUUAAUUAAAAUAUUAGAUUGUGAUUCUAAAGAUAGAGGUUAAACCCCCCUUAUCCACC